This is a non-coding RNA of Rattus norvegicus (Norway rat), 96 nucleotides long. Lineage: Eukaryota; Metazoa; Chordata; Mammalia; Rodentia; Muridae. The record is from Rfam.
CUGGGCAAGGUGCGGGGCUAGGGCUAACAGCAGUCUUACUGAGGGUCUCCUGGAGACCACACACAUGCUGUUACCACUAACCUCAACCUUACUCCG